AUAUUGCACAAUGGGGGAAACCCUGAUGCAGCCAUGCCGCGUGUGUGAAGAAGGCCUUCGGGUUGUAAAGCACUUUCAGUAGGGAGGAAAGGUAGCAGCUUAAUACGCUGUUGCUGUGACGUUACCUACAGAAGAAGGACCGGCUAACUCCGUGCCAGCAGCCGCGGUAAUACGGAGGGUCCGAGCGUUAAUCGGAAUUACUGGGCGUAAAGCGUGCGCAGGCGGUUUGUUAAGCGAGAUGUGAAAGCCCCGGGCUCAACCUGGGAAUUGCAUUUCGAACUGGCGAACUAGAGUCUUGUAGAGGGGGGUAGAAUUCCAGGUGUAGCGGUGAAAUGCGUAGAGAUCUGGAGGAAUACCGGUGGCGAAGGCGGCCCCCUGGACAAAGACUGACGCUCAGGCACGAAAGCGUGGGGAGCAAACAGGAUUAGAUACCCUGGUAGUCCACGCCGUAAACGAUGUCUACUCGGAGUUUGGUGUCUUGAACACUGGGCUCUCAAGCUAACGCAUUAAGUAGACCGCCUGGGGAGUACGGCCGCAAGGUUAAAACUCAAAUGAAUUGACGGGCCCCC
This 569-nucleotide ribosomal RNA is filed under the name Shewanella sp. Its description in RNAcentral is "bacterial SSU rRNA". It matches the Rfam family "Bacterial small subunit ribosomal RNA", at positions 361 to 922 of the family's 1533-position model. Lineage: Bacteria; Pseudomonadati; Pseudomonadota; Gammaproteobacteria; Alteromonadales; Shewanellaceae. The record is from RNAcentral.